UCUUCUCCAACAUUUAUCCAUUUUCCUGUUUUGUCAUUUUGGCUAUUAUUACUAAUAUAAUUAUAAGAGGGGCUGAAUCUAAAGAAGAAGAAAACUGCCAAUUAAGAGAAAUAUUACAGUCUUGUUUACUAUGUCUCAGUUUUCCCAUCAUAAAAAAAUGAUCCCUAAUAUCUGUUUUCACAGUAAGGUUGGGAAACAUGAAAUCAUAUGAUCACUUAUUUAGAGCUGGAAGAGACCCCAGAAAGACUGAAAGCUCUAUUACAAAAUACACAAACCACAAUGCAUAAAGCAUACCUAAUGGCAAAGUUCAAAGACCGUAGCCUGAGGUCCUAGUCCCACUAUUUGGCUACUUCCCAGAAACUCCGAAGAGUUAGAUAAAUUAGACAAAUCACUUCUCUUCUUCACUUCUAUGAGGCAUCAAGACAUCUUUGACAGAAUGUGUCAAAGCUGAUUACUCACUUAGUGUGGUCAUUCUUUCAAUUAGUAUAAACUGAAUUCCUACUAUGUGCACAUAGGAUUUUGCUGGUCACUGUAAGAUGGGGGUAGGGGAGAGAAAAGAGAUAAAACUGUAAACUCUUUAAAGGCAAAAACUGGUUUUAUAAUCUCAUGGUGACAAGACACAUAUACACACAAGAAUAAGUAAACAAUAGCAGGCAAAGAGUGUACUUCAGAGGAGUGGGGGUGGGGAAAAUGUGUUAAGUGAUCCCUCUCCGGUAGAGACUCCCGACCCAGAUGCCCUGGGAUUCGACCCAGCUCUCAGAAUGAUCUAAAUGGUCCACCUUUGUGUCCAACUCUUUUCAUUCUCAAUGACCAGGCCAGUCCAAGAAAUAGACAUGAGGCAAGAUGGAUAUAAAGCACUUGUCACAGACCUCUUGGUAAGGAUGAGAGGGAACUUUACAAGGUGGCCAGUGUCCUGUCUUGUUGCACUGUACCCAAGCAAUCAGACCCCAGUAACAGAUUACCUCCCAAUAAAACUUUCAUGCCACACAGACCAGGGGGGAUCAAAUCCAACAGAAGCUGGGGACAGGUUUUCAGUUACACUUCGCCCUCACUGGGAUUACCUCACAGUUUCUUUUCAUCCAACCAUACUACCUCUUCAUCUCGAACCCUCUAACAAGUCCAGUGAAAAGGGAAAAGGCAGGUGUGUGAAGCAACAUCGUCCUGGAUACUUGGGGAAUGAGGCUCAUUCCCAACCUUGAGCUGCUUACUUUCCUAAUCAAAUGGCCCAUUUUAAAAGGGAACUUCCUCCCCCUCCCCCUCCCUCAAACGGUUGGCUUAUAAAGCAAAGGCACCAUUUUCUGUUCCAGGAAUCCUAGUCCUUCCAAAGGGAAGGAAUGGGAUUGGAAGAUGCAAACCCGGGGCCGGCUCUAAGAUGCUCCCUCCUUUCGGCUCCAGUGAAGGCCGCCCCCGCUUAGCCUGGGGGAGGGAGUACCUACCUCCCUCCUGCGAGCAGGCGGAGAACCUCCUCCCUUCUUCUUCUCCUCUUCCUCCUCCUCCCCCAACACACACCUCCAGCUGCCCUCUCCCCCCCACAAGUGUUCCCAGGGAACCCAAGAGAAGCUACUCGCCGCCCCGAACCCCCGCCGCAGCUGCGCUCCUGCCCUCCCCCGCCCCCCACCUGCCCCAGCCUCGGGAGGGUGGGGUGUCACCCAGGCGAGGGGGGGAGGGCAGAGACGCUCCCUCGCCUCCCGGUAGCCCCUUCCCAGGACACUCUCCCUUUCUGGAUCUCCCCCCGCCCCUCGUCCCUGCCCCCAACCCACCUGGGGGGAGGGGAGAGGAAAGGAGGGAUCGAGCACUGCCGGAUACCAGCCUCCAGUCCCUGGGCCCCUCGGAAUGACAGGAGGGGAGCGAGCCUGCGUCCGUCGGUCUGUCCAUCCAAUCUCAGGUGAGAAGAGGAGCAACCUUCCCUGUGACUCUGGAUCUUCCAUCUCCUGCUGAACCUGUCCCCUGAGGGAAGAGGAAGAGGAAAAAAAGUAGGGAACAGGGCUUCUAUUUCCUGCCACAAAAGUUUGACUUCCAUCUCCCACUGCAAUGUCCCCUGACUGAUUUCCAGCCUUCGGAGAAAAGUGAAAAAUAGCUUUCCAUCUCAUGGUUGUGGUUUGGGGUUUCAGUCUGCCCGGGAGUGUGUCUGAGAAAAGCAGAGAGAGCUAGAAAGAAAGGGAGAGGAAUCUGAAAAAAGGAAGAUAAGAAAGAGGCUAUGAUGUGCUUCCUGUGAUUGACUGUGGGGUAAUGAUAUGGGUUCCUAUCAUAAGCUAGGAACCAUGCCACUGAGGUUGGAAGAGGAAUCAUCCUGAAAAAAGACAUUUACCCACUCAGUGACCCGGCAUUCAUCACAGAGAACAUAACAGCACCAAUGGAAACGGCAGUGGCAUCGCUCAACACGGGUCU
Long non-coding RNA from Phascolarctos cinereus (koala), 2388 nucleotides. RefSeq lists it as uncharacterized. The record is from RefSeq and is a predicted model, not a curated record. Lineage: Eukaryota; Metazoa; Chordata; Mammalia; Diprotodontia; Phascolarctidae.